GCCUACGGGGGGCUGCAGUGGGGAAUAUUGCACAAUGGGGGAAACCCUGAUGCAGCAACGCCGCGUGAGUGAAGAAGUCAUUCGUGAUGUAAAGCUCUAUCAGCAGGGAAGAAAAUGACGGUACCUGACUAAGAAGCCCCGGCUAACUACGUGCCAGCAGCCGCGGUAAUACGUAGGGGGCAAGCGUUAUCCGGAUUUACUGGGUGUAAAGGGAGCGUAGACGGCGACGCAAGUCUGAAGUGAAAUGCCAAUGCUCAACACUGGAACUGCUUUGGAAACUGUGUAGCUAGAGUGCAGGAGAGGUAAGUGGAAUUCCUAGUGUAGCGGUGAAAUGCGUAGAUAUUAGGAGGAACACCAGUGGCGAAGGCGGCUUACUGGACUGUAACUGACGUUGAGGCUCGAAGGCGUGGGGAGCAAACAGGAUUAGAUACCCGAGUAGUCACA
This 444-nucleotide ribosomal RNA is filed under the name uncultured Lachnospiraceae bacterium. RNAcentral describes it as "bacterial SSU rRNA". It matches the Rfam family "Bacterial small subunit ribosomal RNA", at positions 337 to 797 of the family's 1533-position model. The record is from RNAcentral. Lineage: Bacteria; Bacillati; Bacillota; Clostridia; Lachnospirales; Lachnospiraceae.